GAACUGUGCGAACGUUAUUCGGAAUCACUGGGCUUACAGGGUGCGUAGGUGGCCGGACAAGUCAGGUGUGAAAUCCCUCAGCUCAACUGAGGAACUGCGCUUGAAACUGUUUGGCUAGAGUGAGCUAGGGGUGCUUGGAACUGCCAGUGGAGCGGUGAAAUGUGUUGAUAUUGGCAGGAACACCGGAGCCGAAAGGGAAGCACUGGGGCUUAACUGACACUGAGGCACGAAAGCCAGGGGAGCAAACGGGAUUAGAUACCCCGGUAGUCCUGGCCGUAAACUAUGAGAACUGGGCGGGGGAGGGCUUGCCCAUCCCGGCCGUAGCGAAAGCGUUAAGUUCUCCGCCUGGGGAGU
This 354-nucleotide ribosomal RNA is filed under the name uncultured bacterium. Its description in RNAcentral is "bacterial SSU rRNA". It matches the Rfam family "Bacterial small subunit ribosomal RNA", at positions 527 to 881 of the family's 1533-position model. The record is from RNAcentral.